UCAAACAAAAUUAAUAGAAGAUGUACAUAUUUCGAGCAGAACAAACAAACAAAUUUAGUCGAUGAAGCUCACGAAACCAUUUGAGCCCUAAAGGCAAAGAGUGAACUUCAGGCAAGGAGCAGCCCCACAUAUAACUUUUAACUGGCUGCUUCUAUUUGAACUUAUCCAAGCCUUUUCCAAAAAAUUUAAUCCACCAAAAUUACAAUAAGAAUAACAUUUAUUUCAAGCAACCAUUUCUUUAAACAUAGUAAAACACACACUUUAGUAUAUUAAUUGCAGCCCAGCCUGUGAAACAUAUGUUUCCAUUCAAAGUCUAGACGGUUGCAAUUUGACAUAAUCCCGAGGAUUGAAUGACAAACUUUUCAUAAAAGAAAGCUUUCCUUUACUGAUAAAACUACUCCCAUUGUUUGAAAAAGUAUAAAAAAUUGUAAACUAAUCUAAUACUAAGCAAUUACAGACUUAUAUAAAUUAGCAUAAAGACCCUUGUUCCAUUUGAACGUGACUUGUCCAUAGCCUCAUCUUCUUUCCUUAAAGUUUAGAUCCCACCUUAAAGCUUUCAAAACUAAAUGAUCCAGCCAACUGGUGGUUGAAGCAACGGUUAAAGAUCAUUACCAAAAAAGAAAAAUUAUGUAAGAGAAUCUGAUGGAAAAGAAAAGAAAUACUACCAAGGGAACAUGGUCAACACUACUAGAUUAAUGAAAUAAAUUGAUCCAACAUUAAAUAAGUAGGGAAAGAAACAAUGUGUUCAUAAGUCUAACCAUAUUAAGGAUCAGCCUUAUAGACAGAAAUGAUCCCUAAAACCAUAAUUUGUUUCAUAGAUCUCAUUUCGAUAGAAAAAAAAGGGGAGAGGAGAUAUACUGAAAAUUCAGAUUAUUAUGGACUUCUAAAGGGUGAAUCUGACCAUUGGAAAGGUCAGAUUCAUUUCCAUGUGUGCUUCCAUAGGAAGUAAACUUUGGCCAUUGGUUUCACAAAUCCAUACAUACACUAAUUUAGCAAUCUUGAAUAUGAAUGUUUGCAUAUAAGUAUAACACAAGCUUACAUACUUCAUGGCUUCAACUCAAGCAAACAUUUAAUCCAGAUAAUAGUCAUGACUUCCAAACAAAACUACCAAAGACUAACUAAACAAACAAGUUUCAAAUGCAAAUUUUCAAACACAAAAAACUAAUUAAAUUCAAUAGGAGCAUUGUACAUAACGUAAAGCUGAAAAUAUGAAUAAAGAAUGACCAAAUAAAGGUCAAGAACACUAGAAGAGAAAUAAAACCCAAACUUCACCAAUAGAACAACAAACAAGCAACAUUAAAACCAGAAAGCUAGCCCAUGGAUGGAUAACCCAAAAACCAACUGCAAACAAGAAGAUUCAGCUAGAAAACUAAGGAAAUAUUCUACUAAAACCAUUGUUUUUACUUGCACAGAAUCAGAAAAAUGAGAAUGAAAGGUUUUUGAGUUUUUUUUUUCCGGAAAUUUCUCCAAAUCGGAAAUUUUCAGAGCAGUGAAUGUUUUGAAGUAGUUUUGAUGAAAAAGUCCUCAUAUGAGAGUGAGGGAGUCUAUCUUUAUAUAGAGUGCACAAAAGAGCAUGAAAUGUAAUAUUCUAAAAUAGAAUCUGACAUUCAGAAUAGUACAUCAAUUUUUAAAGCUUGCUGUCCUUUUUCCUUAUCCAAUACCCAUAUUGGCUAAGGAUAGGGACAUCUGUCCUUAGUUCUAGAAUUUUCUAAUUUUUAGCCUAAGUAAAUAUUCAAUUUUACCCAUUAAGUUAUCCUUUAUGUAGGUUUACCUAGUCUUUCUAGUUCAAAUGAGCACCCUAAAAUGUUAUUGGUUUUCAUAUCAGGGCAAGCAAUUAGAAAAAAAUUAAAGGUGAAGCAAGUGUGAAUAGAACAGUGAAAAUUUAGAAAGAAAUUUUGCCAAUUGAAUUUGGCCCAGCUAUCUUUACUUAAACUGUUUUUUCCUAAUUAAUUAGGACAAUCAUAAGGAAUACUUAAUAUCUAAACUUACAGGUGGAAGAAGAGAACAUUUAAUCAAGAUGGAAUGAAUGCAAUUUUUGCACAGAAACUUGGCAAUUACAAAUUAAAAUAAUAAUAAAAAAUAAAUUAUGAAGGAACAACUAUUGGUCUAGAAUAAAGAAGCUAUGAAAAACCAAUUCAACAAAAAAAUCUAAACAAACCUAAACUUAAACGAAUUACACAUGCUUUAAUUAAACGGACGUCAAGGAAUAACUAACUGUCACAAGAGGGAGAACAGAGGAAAACUUAACAUGCUGCAAAAAUAAAGAAAAAUCAAACAUGCAUAGAAGGGGCAAAACAAAAAUUAAACAAUCAAAAAGAGAAAGAAAAGGGUUUACUCGGUUGAAAUCAACACUGGAUAAAAAAUAAUGCACUGCCCGAAACUCCUGAUAUGUGAUAUGGACUUUGGAAUAACAUUAAUUGACCGUUCCUAAAAAGAACAUCCAUUUAAUGGAUAUCCUUAAAUGCACUAGAAUAAACCCAGACCAGGAAAAGAAGAGGAGGAAUCUUUUUUUUUUGUCUAAACACCUAGAUCUAAAAUUCAAUGCGCUCAAGGUUGAAUCAAAAGGGAUUAAAUGUGGUUUAUGGUUCUGAUAAGGGUAAGGAUAAAAUGUUGUGAAUUUUGAGCUUUUUCGGUGACUUAACGUUUUGGGCUGACUCCUUCGAUUCAAUAUUAGAGAGGCUCAAAUGUGAUUCGAGGAAUGAGGAAUGUGGAUUUAUAAUGAGGGGUGAAGGAGAGUACAAGGUGUGAAAAUGAUGGUGAUUGCCCACUGGCUACCGCCGUAGGCGAUUUGCAGUGGGCGGCAGGCGGCGAUUUUGGGGGCAGCGUUAUAUCAGUCUCUAAGAGGGUGAUGAGGGAACAUACCUGGGGGGAGGGGGAGGGUAGGGUUCGUU
RNAcentral lists this long non-coding RNA (2891 nucleotides) under Nicotiana benthamiana. RNAcentral's name for it is "long non-coding RNA (NBEN_LNC040025)". The record is from RNAcentral. Lineage: Eukaryota; Viridiplantae; Streptophyta; Magnoliopsida; Solanales; Solanaceae.